This 254-nucleotide ribosomal RNA is filed under the name uncultured bacterium. RNAcentral describes it as "partial 16S ribosomal RNA". It matches the Rfam family "Bacterial small subunit ribosomal RNA", at positions 524 to 776 of the family's 1533-position model. The record is from RNAcentral.
CACGUAGGGUGCGAGCGUUGUCCGGAAUUAUUGGGCGUAAAGAGCUCGUAGGCGGCGUGUCGCGUCGGCCGUGAAAACCUGCAGCUUAACUGUGGGCUUGCGGUCGAUACGGGAAUCACUGGAGUUCGGCAGGGGAGACUGGAAUUCCUGGUGUAGCGGUGAAAUGCGCAGAUAUCAGGAGGAACACCGGUGGCGAAGGCGGGUCUCUGGGCCGAUACUGACGCUGAGGAGCGAAAGCGUGGGGAGCGAACAGG